Molecule: unclassified non-coding RNA, 338 nt
Filed under: air metagenome
Description: partial contains small subunit ribosomal RNA, internal transcribed spacer 1, and 5.8S ribosomal RNA
Rfam family: Eukaryotic small subunit ribosomal RNA (bases 1-46)
Source: RNAcentral
AAGUCGUAACAAGGUCUCCGUUGGUGAACCAGCGGAGGGAUCAUUACAGAGUUGCAAAACUCCAAACCCAUGUGAACAUACCUCGUGUUGCCUCGGCGGCGAGCGUAGUGCUCGGUAGGUGCCUACCCGGUACCUACCCUAGAGCUACCCUGGAGCCUCCUACCCUGGAGCUGCAGGGUACCUACCCUGGAGUUACCCGGGUAGUAACAUACCCGGUAGCUACCCUGGAGGACAUGCGCAUCCGCCGGAGGACCACUCAAACUCUUGUUUCUGUGUGGCACAUCUGAGUAAUUAUAUUUAAUAAGUCAAAACUUUCAACAACGGAUCUCUUGGUUCUG